UACGUAGGGUGCAAGCGUUAUCCGGAAUUAUUGGGCGUAAAGAGCUCGUAGGCGGUUUGUCGCGUCUGCUGUGAAAACUGGAGGCUCAACCUCCAGCCUGCAGUGGGUACGGGCAGACUAGAGUGCGGUAGGGGAGAUUGGAAUUCCUGGUGUAGCGGUGGAAUGCGCAGAUAUCAGGAGGAACACCGAUGGCGAAGGCAGAUCUCUGGGCCGUAGCUGACGCUGAGGAGCGAAAGCAUGGGGAGCGAACAGG
Molecule: ribosomal RNA, 253 nt
Filed under: uncultured bacterium
Lineage: Bacteria
Description: partial 16S ribosomal RNA
Rfam family: Bacterial small subunit ribosomal RNA
Source: RNAcentral